Molecule: ribosomal RNA, 445 nt
Filed under: uncultured bacterium
Lineage: Bacteria
Description: partial 16S ribosomal RNA
Rfam family: Bacterial small subunit ribosomal RNA
Source: RNAcentral
GUAGGGAAUAUUGGGCAAUGGAUGCAAGUCUGACCCAGCCAUCCCGCGUGCCGGAAGAAUGCCCUCAGGGUUGUAAACGGCUUUUGACGGUGAAGAAUCGACAGGAUGCGUCCUGUUUUGACGGUAGCCGUUGAAUAAGCACCGGCUAACUCCGUGCCAGCAGCCGCGGUAAUACGGAGGGUGCGAGCGUUGUCCGGAUUUAUUGGGUUUAAAGGGUGCGUAGGCUGGAAGGUCAGUAAGCGGUGAAAAGCUGUCGCUUAACGAUAGUCUUGCCGCAGAUACUUCCUUUCUUGGAUGAGGAGGAGGCCACUGGAACGGAUGGUGUAGCGGUGAAAUGCAUAGAUAUCAUCCAGAACACCGAUUGCGAAGGCAGGUGGCUGUACCUUAAUCGACGCUGAUGCACGAAAGCAUGGGGAGCAAACAGGAUUAGAUACCCGAGUAGUCC